This 599-nucleotide ribosomal RNA is filed under the name Pantoea agglomerans. RNAcentral's name for it is "bacterial SSU rRNA". It matches the Rfam family "Bacterial small subunit ribosomal RNA", at positions 1 to 591 of the family's 1533-position model. Lineage: Bacteria; Pseudomonadati; Pseudomonadota; Gammaproteobacteria; Enterobacterales; Erwiniaceae. The record is from RNAcentral.
AAAUUGAAGAGUUUGAUCAUGGCUCAGAUUGAACGCUGGCGGCAGGCCUAACACAUGCAAGUCGGACGGUAGCACAGAGAGCUUGCUCUCGGGUGACGAGUGGCGGACGGGUGAGUAAUGUCUGGGGAUCUGCCCGAUAGAGGGGGAUAACCACUGGAAACGGUGGCUAAUACCGCAUAACGUCGCAAGACCAAAGAGGGGGACCUUCGGGCCUCUCACUAUCGGAUGAACCCAGAUGGGAUUAGCUAGUAGGCGGGGUAAUGGCCCACCUAGGCGACGAUCCCUAGCUGGUCUGAGAGGAUGACCAGCCACACUGGAACUGAGACACGGUCCAGACUCCUACGGGAGGCAGCAGUGGGGAAUAUUGCACAAUGGGCGCAAGCCUGAUGCAGCCAUGCCGCGUGUAUGAAGAAGGCCUUCGGGUUGUAAAGUACUUUCAGCGGGGAGGAAGGCGAUGGGGUUAAUAACCUUAUCGAUUGACGUUACCCGCAGAAGAAGCACCGGCUAACUCCGUGCCAGCAGCCGCGGUAAUACGGAGGGUGCAAGCGUUAAUCGGAAUUACUGGGCGUAAAGCGCACGCAGGCGGUCUGUUAAGUCAG